CGAUGGAUCUUUCUCUAUAUGUUAGGAAGAAUGCUGUUCUUGUGCUCUCCCAUCUCAUAUUGAAUGAUAUGAUGAAGGUGAUUAACCAUCUUAGACCUGAAUACUUAGAAGAUGAAAUGGACACCUUCCAGGGUGUGGAUGAUUGGGAUGUUCCCUGUGGAGAAUUACGUGGAGAAUCUCCUAAUUGAAGCCAUGAG
Eucalyptus grandis is the source of this 197-nucleotide long non-coding RNA. RefSeq lists it as uncharacterized. The transcript is spliced from 3 exons. Lineage: Eukaryota; Viridiplantae; Streptophyta; Magnoliopsida; Myrtales; Myrtaceae. The record is from RefSeq and is a predicted model, not a curated record.